This 2010-nucleotide long non-coding RNA is filed under the name Chlamydomonas reinhardtii. Its description in RNAcentral is "long non-coding RNA (CREI_LNC001282)". The record is from RNAcentral. Lineage: Eukaryota; Viridiplantae; Chlorophyta; Chlorophyceae; Chlamydomonadales; Chlamydomonadaceae.
GUAUGCAUGCUUAGCAUACGCACGAUUAAGCACAAAUAAAGCAAAAAUGCCGGUUGCUUAGAGCUCUACGCAUGGUCUCACGCAUGCGGCACGCCUGUGCUUUACCUAAAGCAAGCUGCCACCCGGCGCUGUGUGCGUCCCGCCCGAUACUGUGCGCGUCCCGCACGGCACAUAAAAUGGGGCACAUGAGGCACCUGAAGCUCUCUUGAUGUGUUACAGUUCAUGCAUCUGCGCUCCGACACGUGCCCCUCGUACUGGUGUCGUGGUGUGCCAAAAUGGUGCAAGUCCGCACGGCUCUCCCGCCCGCUCCGUCCACACGACCCACAACCCACCGCGUGCUGCACGCACACAUUCUGCAAGGCCUACCAUUGCUACACAACACUAAACGUACAGACCAGGCAUACUCAGGGUCUCGAGGCAAGUGUGAAGGCAACCGAUACGGAUCCCCUGCCAGCACUACACCCAGCCACCCGCCGAUCACAGCAUAACACCAUGCGCGCACAGCGCCGCCUGCCAAUUCCGCUGCCGCCACCUGAAGUCUGCCGCUUGCCGCUAGCCGCCUCCAUACUUGAGCUCGGCCUGCAUGGUGUUUGGGGUAAGUUGGUCAGUGCAUGGUGGCACGGUGUCGUGCAGGGCAGGGCCUAGACCGCAUUGGGCCUCUUUCCAGUGGGGACUUUAGCCAUUUAGUGGCGCAGACUUUAGUGGGCUUCUUCCUCUGCGAUGCUAAAUGCUUGCUAACCUUGUAAUUUUAGGCUAGUAGCGACGAAGGCCUGUCAGUUGGCUUGCUGGGUGUUUGCCGCGUGUCACCCCUUGGGAAAGGCAGUCCCCGACCAGGUCGCAAAAUCCGACCUUGGCUUUACUCCGCCCCGAUUUGUCUCCUGGUAUAUUUAGUGUUGUAAUUGCAAUCCCACAAGGCAGCGGUACUGCGGCGGAGCAUUCUAAAGGGGGCGCCACUAAAUCGACUGGAAAGAGGCCCAUUCGGUCCCCUAGAACCAACUUCCCAUGUACGUCAUUCAAAUCCUAUCAUUCAUCCUAUUAUGAGUUGUGUAGCAACUUCCGAUCAAACUUGCCUGGUGAGGGUUAGAAGGGCCACGCAUUUACGCGCGCUGCGCCCCGAGUCGAAUUCCAGUGCCGGACCUGAGGAGACAAGGCGAGGGGGAGCGGGGGAGCUUCACACUCUGAAUCUCUGCUUAUGCUCUUACAACUUCGUCCAUACUGCGCAUGGAUGCUAGCUCGCUUGACCCCCUGAAUUUGUUGUCGCUUGUCGACCCCCUGAAAUGGCUGUCGCUAUGUGUCCUGACCUGCCUCACCUGGCACUGUUGAUUCCAGACUUGGUCUCUGAUGCUUGAUUUACAUCCUGUAACAGCAGCGUCAAGACCUGGCUUAGUUGUAGACCCGGUCAACGAGGGUCCGACACCCCCUGCGACAGCGCAGCCCAGCCCCAGCACCAGCAGCUCAUAACAUACCUUCCAAAGAUUGAUGCCAGGGCUUAGCAGGACUUGAAGACUCGCCCUGUAGACUUGAGCGCCAACUUUGAAAGCAAGUCCAUGGCCGACUGGCAGAGGACCACGAAGUCUCUACAUGGUGCUGAACGAUAGGUAUGUAGCUACAUGUGACAAAGACAGGUUGCUUGAAGAGUGAAAAACUGAACUCGAAAUAUAUGAGCCCCAUGCAGCCCCAUGCAACAAGGUACGCGCUCCAUGCUGGGUCGGGUCUUGAUUUGCUUGCAUGCUCCGGCUUAAGUUAAUCUACAGCAGGCCGGUACGUCAGUCUUCAGCGCCGGUCCGGGCACGGGUCUCGCCUCCGCCUGCGCCUCCGCGGCUUGUGCUUAGGGAACCACCUGAAUACCGGCUUUCUCGGCUUCGCAUGGUUCGUCUUUACAGCUUUCUCAAUAACGGGGAAAGCCUCAUAUGCACACGCACCUCCGCUCAUGCCCACCGCCGCAUGAAGGAAGGCCGGGGGAGGCCUGGUGGAUACGGUGUAGGGCUCCCAUGCACACGCACCUCCGCU